This 501-nucleotide ribosomal RNA is filed under the name uncultured bacterium. RNAcentral's name for it is "bacterial SSU rRNA". It matches the Rfam family "Bacterial small subunit ribosomal RNA", at positions 18 to 518 of the family's 1533-position model. The record is from RNAcentral.
UCUGGUUCAGGAUAAACGCUGGCACCAUGCCUAAUACAUGCAUGUCGUACGAGAGCUUCGGCUCGAGUGGCAAAUGGGUGAGUAACACGUAAGGAACCUGCCCUAGCGACGAGGAUAACGGUUGGAAACGACUGCUAAUACUGGAUAGUAUAUCGGACCGCGUGAUCUGAUAUUUAAAGCAGCUUCGGCUGCACGCUAGGAUGGCCUUGCGGCGCAUUAGAUAGUUGGUGAGGUAACGGCCCACCAAGUCAAUGAUGCGUAGCUGAACUGAGAGGUUAAACAGCCACAUUGGGACUGAGACACGGCCCAAACUCCUACGGGAGGCAGCAGUAGGGAAUUUUCGGCAAUGGGCGAAAGCCUGACCGAGCAAUGGUGCGUGAACGAUGAAGAUCCUUGGAUCGUAAAGUUCUUUUAUAAGGGAAGAAUACAUCAAGUAGGUAAUGACUUGGUGCUGACGGUACCUUUUGAAUAAGCUCCGGCCAACUAUGUGCCAGCCGCGGC